GACGAACGCUAGCGGCGCGCUUAACACAUGCAAGUCGAGCGGAAAGGCCCUUCGGGGUACUCGAGCGGCGAACGGGUGAGUAACACGUGAGCAACCUGCCCUUGGCUUUGGGAUAACCCCGGGAAACCGGGGCUAAUACCGAAUAUCCACGCACCGCCGCAUGACGGUGCGUGAAAAGUUUUUCGGCUGAGGAUGGGCUCGCGGCCUAUCAGCUUGUUGGUGGGGUAACGGCCUACCAAGGCUUCGACGGGUAGCCGGCCUGAGAGGGCGACCGGCCACACUGGGACUGAGAUACGGCCCAGACUCCUACGGGAGGCAGCAGUGGGGAAUAUUGCACAAUGGGCGCAAGCCUGAUGCAGCGACGCCGCGUGAGGGAAGAAGGCCUUCGGGUUGUAAACCUCUUUCGGCAGGGACGAAGCGAAAGUGACGGUACCUGAAGAAGAAGCGCCGGCCAACUACGUGCCAGCCGCCGCCGUAACAC
This 481-nucleotide ribosomal RNA is filed under the name uncultured bacterium. Its description in RNAcentral is "bacterial SSU rRNA". It matches the Rfam family "Bacterial small subunit ribosomal RNA", at positions 28 to 526 of the family's 1533-position model. The record is from RNAcentral.